This 114-nucleotide ribosomal RNA is filed under the name Pteropus alecto (black flying fox). Lineage: Eukaryota; Metazoa; Chordata; Mammalia; Chiroptera; Pteropodidae. The record is from RNAcentral.
GUCUACAGCCAUGCCACCCUGAACAAGCCUGAUGUCUGAUCUCAGAAGCUAAGCAGGGUGAGGCCUGGUUAGUACUUGGAUGAGACCACCUAGAAAGACCAUGUUCUAUAGGCA